UACGGGGGGGGUAAGCGUUGUUCGGAAUUACUGGGCGUAAAGGGCUCGUAGGCGGCCAACUAAGUCAGACGUGAAAUCCCUCAGCUUAACUGGGGAACUGCGUCUGAUACUGGAUGGCUUGGAUUCGGGAGAGGAAUGCGGAAUUCCAGGUGUAGCGGUGAAAUGCGUAGAUAUCGGGAGGAACACCAGUGGCGAAGGCGUCUUCCUGGACCAGAACUGACGCUGAGGCGCGAAAGCUAGGGGAGCAAACAGG
This 253-nucleotide ribosomal RNA is filed under the name uncultured bacterium. RNAcentral's name for it is "partial 16S ribosomal RNA". It matches the Rfam family "Bacterial small subunit ribosomal RNA", at positions 524 to 776 of the family's 1533-position model. The record is from RNAcentral.